This 440-nucleotide ribosomal RNA is filed under the name uncultured bacterium. RNAcentral describes it as "partial 16S ribosomal RNA". It matches the Rfam family "Bacterial small subunit ribosomal RNA", at positions 338 to 795 of the family's 1533-position model. The record is from RNAcentral.
CCUACGGGAGGCAGCAGUAGGGAAUAUUGCUCAAUGGGGGAAACCCUGAAGCAGCAACGCCGCGUGGAGGAUGAAGGUUUUCGGAUUGUAAACCCCUUUUGUUAGAGAAGAUAAUGACGGUAUCUAACGAAUAAGGACCGGCUAACUCCGGGCCCGCAGCCGCGGUAAUACGGAGGGAGCAAGCGUUACUCGGAGUUACUGGGCGUAAAGGGCGCGUAGGCGGGAUAGCAAGUCAGAUGGGAAAACCUAUGGCUUAACCAUAGAACUGCAUUUGAAACUGUUAUUCUAGAGUAUGGGAGAGGUAGGUGGAAUUCUUGGUGUAGCGGUAAAAUCCGUAGAGAUCAAGAGGAAUACUCAUUGCGAAGGCGACCUGCUAGAACAUAACUGACGCUGAUGCGCGAAAGCGUGGGGAGCAAACAGGAUUAGAUACCCGGGUAGUC